UUCCCUCACAACUCACAGAAUUGAUUCGAUUUGGAAAUGACAUUGUAUCCAGAGGAUUGACUUUUGUCUCUCUCAAGGGCUUGUGAUGAUACAAUUCACCUCCUCAUUGGCUGCUCUUUUUGAAGAAAACAAAACUCCGAUUUCUGGAUGGAAUUGAGCUUGUGGUCCACAUGGGAGGGGCGAGAGGCCUUACGGUGGAGCGGACUUUGCUUUUCUCAUCUUACCAGUGACCUGGGUGUCUUGCCGGGCACAUGAUGGCCACUCAGCCCUCGGGCCCUUCCCUUUCCUUUGGCUCAACCUUCCUUUGGGAGAGGAUUUUGCCUCCUCGGAGUCUUUCCUACCAGGAGUCACAGGCCUUCUGUUCUAAGUUAAAGGAGGUCUGAAGAUGGGAUGAGAGGGAGAACGACCCCGUGACCUCCCCUCCACUGUCCUGCAGCCCAGCCCGGGGACCUCCCCAACCCCACCAGCAUCUUUGCCAGCUUCCAAUGAAUUCAGAGCCCUCUGCAGCAGGGGAUCUAAAUUUAGACCCUGUGCUCUGUUAACUCGGUGAAUAAUGCUAAUUAGCAUAACAAUUCUUCCUGCAAUUAAGCUGGGGAGGGGGA
Molecule: long non-coding RNA, 602 nt
Filed under: Homo sapiens (human)
Lineage: Eukaryota; Metazoa; Chordata; Mammalia; Primates; Hominidae
Description: HSALNT0004992
Source: RNAcentral